AGAACGAACGCUGGCGGCGGGCUUAACACAUGCAAGUCGAGCGCCCCGCAAGGGGGAGCGGCAGACGGGUGAGUAACGCGUGGGAAUCUACCCAUCACUACGGAACAACUCCGGGAAACUGGAGCUAAUACCGUAUACGUCCUUCGGGAGAAAGAUUUAUCGGUGAUGGAUGAGCCCGCGUUGGAUUAGCUAGUUGGUGGGGUAAUGGCCUACCAAGGCGACGAUCCAUAGCUGGUCUGAGAGGAUGAUCAGCCACAUUGGGACUGAGACACGGCCCAAACUCCUACGGGAGCGAGCAGUGGGGAAUAGUUGGACAAUGGGCGAAAGCCUAGACUCCAGCCAGUGCCGCGUGAGUGAUGGAAGGCCCGUAGGGUUAGUAAACGUCGUCUUUCGAAACGGUGAAGUAUAAUAGGAACGGUAACCGUAAGAACGAACGACCCCGGACUAACGUUCGUGACCAGCACGCCGCGGUAAU
This 475-nucleotide ribosomal RNA is filed under the name uncultured soil bacterium. RNAcentral's name for it is "bacterial SSU rRNA". It matches the Rfam family "Bacterial small subunit ribosomal RNA", at positions 26 to 524 of the family's 1533-position model. The record is from RNAcentral.